GGUACUAGGGUCUAUGUCACCAUGGCUUGGACUCCUCUCCUCCUCAUGCUCCUGUCUCACUGCACAGGUUCCCUGUCCCAGCCUGUGCUGACCCAGCCUCCCUCCCUCUCUGCAUCUCCGGGAACAACAGCCAGACUCACCUGCACCCUGAGCAGUGGCUACAAUGUGGGAAGCUAUUACAUAAACUGGUUCCAGCAGAAGCCAGGGAGCCCUCCCCGGUUUCUCCUGUGGUUCUAUUCAGACUCCAAUAAAUACCAGGGCUCCGGGGUCCCCAGCCGCUUCUCUGGGUCCAAAGAUGCGUCGACCAAUGCAGGGCUUCUGCUCAUCUCUGGGCUGCAGCCUGAGGACGAGGCUGACUACUACUGUGCUACAGGUCACAGCAGUGGGAGCAAUUAUCGUUACUCACAGUGA
Suricata suricatta (meerkat) is the source of this 411-nucleotide non-coding RNA. NCBI's taxonomy places the organism in Eukaryota, Metazoa, Chordata, Mammalia, Carnivora, Herpestidae. The record is from the annotation of a RefSeq genome assembly.